GCCAAGCCCACAGUUACUCUAGGCCACUGCCAAGACUGUGUUCCGCAGGAAUACCAGUGCUCAGGCCCUAGGCUGACCGCACCCCUGCCCUGCCACCAGUGUGAGAGUGAGUCCUAAACUCUUCCACUGAGUUUGAAUGUUUAGUUCACAGCAAAGAUGAGGCUGGAUGAUCAAUCUGAUGCAAGCCACCUCUAACUUCUGUCUGCGGGAUACCUGCAAUCACCUCUGGAACAUAGAGAGAAUGCAUUUUAGCUGCUUUGGAGACUUGGAGGCUGCCAUGCGGGUCACCAGGCCUGACUGUAUGGCGUCAGAAGCAGGAAGUCUCUUCCUUCCGCAACUGUUUUCCAUAUUACUACUUGAAUCGCCCUCCACAACGUAGAGACUUGCCUCAUCUGCUUCAGCUUCUCAGCUACGUUUCAUCGCAAAGGAGGAAUGAAACAAAUACAGCAAGAAGAGUCCUGUGCAAUCCAUCUGGUAGACUGUGGGUGCCCAGGAGCAGGGGCAGCCUGAUGACUAUGUCUGCAUACAUUUGCAUGAAGAUGAGCUACUCCCAGGUUCAAGCAAUGAUGCAUGUGGUGGCAAGCUUCCUUCUAGAGCUCAUUCUCUCUAGCUCAUUCACCACCUUGUGAAGAACCAGCUUUCUGUCCUCCCUCCCCCAUCCUUGUCCCUUCUUCUGUCCUCCUCUCUUUCUUUCUCCUUCCUUCCUUCUGUAUUGGGAAUUGAACCCAGGGCCUUCGCAAUUCGCUAUCUCCAAAUCCCUUUUUUAUUUUGAGACAGAGUCUCAUUAAGUUACCCAAGCUGGGUUUGGAUUUAUGAUCCUGCUUCAACCUCCCAGAGCUUGGGAUUAAAGCCAUGUGCCAGCAUGCCUGACAGAACUGACCUUUCUUUAUGAGAAAUCUGCAUUGGUAGCUCCUGCUCUUAGACUAUCAUUGUCCCUAAUAAAGUGGUGCUGAGUGUCAUAA
Molecule: long non-coding RNA, 962 nt
Organism: Cavia porcellus (domestic guinea pig)
Lineage: Eukaryota; Metazoa; Chordata; Mammalia; Rodentia; Caviidae
Exons: 3
Source: RefSeq, a predicted model, not a curated record